Long non-coding RNA from Lineus longissimus, 867 nucleotides. RefSeq lists it as uncharacterized. The record is from RefSeq and is a predicted model, not a curated record. NCBI's taxonomy places the organism in Eukaryota, Metazoa, Nemertea, Pilidiophora, Heteronemertea, Lineidae. The transcript has 3 exons.
CAAUAUCAAACGAGACGAAUAUAUGCAGUGCCUACUGAUGAAAUUACACUGAAUCCGAUCAUUUGCCUCAUAAUUGGCUAUAAUCUGAUUUAAGGACGAAUCAUUUCAGUGCGAAACAUUCCUUUUGAUCUGUCCGGACGAAGGGAACGUCGCAGUCGGAUCGAAUACGACAAGCAAGAUGAAGACCUUAUUGAUAGCUGCGUUGCUGGUCGUGCUGGCUGAGAUGGGUCUUGGUAACCGUUCCCCAGGAUACGUCCCAGGAGGCAGACCAGGAGGCAGACCAGCAGGUCCUUCAAGUCCGGGCUCGGCGCCGAAAAGAAGAAACUGCCUUGACGUGAACGAUGACAAACGUGUACUCGGUGAGACCUGGAUCGAACAGGCCGGAAGGUACUCAUGCCAGUGCGUCCCGUUCGACCACGGACUCUUCUCCGUCCCACCUGGAAUGGACAGGUCGCCUAAAAAAUGGUGCGAACUUUUAGGCUGUAUGCGCGGAGACACCUUCAUCGCCCCUGGAGACACCAAGAACGGAUGCCACUGCAUCCCCGGCACCGAUCCUCGCAUACAGGACGCUUCGCAAAAGUAUCACUGUAACCGGUAGACGGACGCUCAGUGGACGCACUGACUACAGUAAAGGAAAGGAGUAGGCCUAUUUUGUAACAACGAACAAUAAGGACACUUUCUUGUUUAGAUGAAUUUGUCUGCAGUCCCGAUAAUGGGGCUAUUUUCUAUACAACUAAAUGAUCCUGGCCUGAUUCGGUGCCUUCAGUUAUCGGCGACAUUGAUUAAUGAAUAAGAUCAUGUAACGAUACUUAAUUCAUGCAAACUGAAAAAGUGAAAAGGGUUAAUUACUAAAAUCUCGAAAGUUUA